AAAAGACUGUGACUUGGGCUGGGGAAUAGGUGGCAGCUUAACUCUUAAAAGAUCUUGUCGUCCUACCAAUGGACUUUGUAACAUCGCCGCGAUGUGCCGCCUAAGCAAGGCUGUUUCCAAGGAGAAUACCGCUCCAAAGUUUUCCCGGGAGGUAUCAGAGCUUGGAAAUGCCGCCCUUGCUUAGUAAAUAUCUGGUGUCCCAGUUCAAAGACUUCUGCCCCCCAAAAGCGGGGCUCCAACCCUGCGUGUGGUCGGGCAACUCGUCCCUUUCGAACAGGAGGUAUUUUUUUGUUCAACGUCCCGUUAAUGCCACCCCGGCAAGGACUGCUUAGGGACACCGGAUCCGGCCGGAGCGGCCACCUCCCAAGCCCCCCGGGCACGCACGCGCCUUCGGGAAGACUCGGGUGCAGAUCGCCUGCAGGAAAACUUCUCCCGGUACCCACACCAGCAGCUCGUCCUCUGGGCGGGGGCAGGUAUUCAAAACAGUCAAUGGCAUUCAAUGAGCUCAGCAGAGCAUCGCUGAACCAGACUACAGUGUCAUAUUUUACAGAUUUCAGCUGCUCAGUUGUAUGGCUUAAUGACCAACAGAACCACUUGUCCAACUGAAAGCUACAGAAUACAAAGGUGUUGCAAUUAUUUUCAGUAGUCUAUUGUUUUUGAAAAAAAAUUCUUGUAACUACUGCCUGUAGGAUUUAAAACAAUUUUUAAGUACCUGCCCAGGAAGAGUAGCUACCCCUUAAGUAUUUUAAAAUGGUGUUUGCCAUAUACAUAUAUUUCAAAUUCAUAUAGUUUUGUCACUUAUAUUCCUUGGUGUACCUUACUACGUGUGUGUUUUUAUAAAAGGACCAUAAACUCCUGAGGAAUGCCUGAGGAAUAUAAGAGGGGUGGGGGGGAAACCUAAUUAAAUACAUACAUUAACACCAAAAUCCUUUCAUCAUGUACUAUGUACAUUUUAUCAGAGGUGAGGCAAAAUUAGCUUCCAAUCAUUACCGAUAUCUGAAAGAGCUACCAGAGGCUACCAGAGUCUCAAUGCUACAAAGUCCCUGCAAAUACUCUCAAGUAAAAUUAAGAAUAAGUUAAAGGCAAGACAAAGAUUUUGAUCUAUCAGCACGUCUGUAACAUUGCUUAUGCAUGCCAUGCCUCAGUUCAAUUUCUGCUGACCUACCUAAUUCACACCUUUAACUCUUCUUGUUUUGGACCAUUUGACUCCUCCUCCUGUGGUCUCCCCAAGACACAGAUUUCAGUAUUUACAGAACAUACCAGUACAUCCUCUAGCACCUUGAUAUGCAUUAUUUAGUACAAAUUCAUUUCAGAAUCUUGGUCAAAACUGAUUUGGGAGGUGCGGAAAGAAGAGAGGAGGCUAAGCUCUGCACUCACAACCAAUGCAAACUAGUACACUUCAGUCCUGCCCUUUUCAUUUCAUUCAUUUACCUAUCACAAGCCUCCCUCUAGUUAAUGCUGGAGUUUUCUUCUCUGUAGCUGCUCCAUCUAGAACACCUUUUCAGUAUCUGCCUACUCAAUUCAGAAGAUCUCACUUGAAGCCUUUUUCCUGCAUUCCUUCUCAGUUGUUUUCCUUAUUUGAUAGCUUCCACAAUACCCUUUUAUACAUUGCAACAAUUACUUAAACUAUUUGGGGAUUCAGCCUGUCUUAAUGUUAUGCACAUUAAAUCUGAAUUGUAUUGUUUCCAUCUUUUUUCUCCCCCUUCCUUUUUGUUUGUUCUCACAUAUUAGAACAAAGAAGUUGUAAUUUGUGCUUCCAAAACUUUUUAUAAAAGAGUGUACUUGAAAUGUUUCCAUUUAUAUUGGGUUUGGAUUUAAACUACUUGUCAACAUCCAUUAAAUAAAGCCAAAACAUGUUAAGCAUUCCUAAGAGAGGCUUCUUAGUUCUAUUUUUAGCACUUAAACAG
Alligator mississippiensis (American alligator) is the source of this 1907-nucleotide long non-coding RNA. RefSeq lists it as uncharacterized. Lineage: Eukaryota; Metazoa; Chordata; Crocodylia; Alligatoridae. The transcript is spliced from 3 exons. The record is from RefSeq and is a predicted model, not a curated record.